Phasianus colchicus (ring-necked pheasant) is the source of this 1584-nucleotide non-coding RNA. NCBI's taxonomy places the organism in Eukaryota, Metazoa, Chordata, Aves, Galliformes, Phasianidae. The record is from RefSeq and is a predicted model, not a curated record.
CGUGCUCUCAGCUUCUUCUCCUUGUUCUCCUGCUCCUGGAAGGUGAGGGCCAUCAUUUCAACACGUGACAAUAGAGCUGCUUUGUAGGACAUGGUUGAAAUCCUUGAAGAGGGCCUUGUGAUGAACCUGUUAGAAAUUCUGUACUACUGCAAGGAGGCUAACAUAGACUAGAUGGAUCCCAUUCCUGUGCCUGCUCCUCUCCAUUUUAAAAGAGGACCCAAAAUGAGUAGCUCAGAUGUAGACAUCUGUUGUGCAGCUAUUCAAGCUCAGUCUUCCCAUUGUUUCCUUCCACGGAAGGGGCAAAGCACUUCCUGCAGAGCUCAGCAUGGUCUCCUGCCUCUCAGUGAUCUGGGGAAUGCGUGCUCAGAUGGCCAUUUCAGAAGUGACAGGAGCUGGCAAAGAAGAUGCCACGUCCUAACACUUUGUUUCUUUGGCAGUACUGUAGGUUGACCUUAUCUGGAUUCCCAACCAGCUGUGGGGGCAGUAACCUCAGAUGCACCAAACAGCCAAAGCCAGUGCUGCAGAACCUGUCCAAACAGUUUUUCUGCCAGUUGUUCAUGGCACUAUUCUGGUUCUCCUUUUACCAGUAAAUGAGCCCUUAUACAUGAACCAAUUUGUUCACAAACAUAGGCCCAUGGUUAGUGGGCACAGUGACGAUGGAUCAGAUGAUUGUAAUGGUAUUUUCCAACAACAGUGAUUGAUUCUAUAGAUCUUGUGAAGACUAGAAGGUAUGCACUGCACCUUCAUCACCACUUUGCAUAAGAAUACAUCUGAAAUCUGUUUUACCUCUUCGCAGAAUGUUUAUGUUGUCAAUGCCUGAGAAACAUAAACCCUAAACUAUCAGAAAACUAAUUUGGUUGAGUCUGUACCCAUUCAGGUAGGGGGAAAAAAUGAAGAAACUACAGUCAAGGUGAUGAAAGAGAGAGUCAAAAUAAGGUAUUUAAAUUGCAAUUUAUUGCAAAUUAAUAUUAAAAGCAGAUCCAAAAAUCUGUUGUGUGCAGCAACAGUCAACUCUAAUUCUUUCAGCUGAUCUCUCCUUCCCUGUAUUUUUGUUUAGUAAGUAACCCGUCAGCUCUGAUCAGGAGGGGGAUUUGUUUGUGCUGAGGCAACAAACAGCCCCACAGCUAGCAGCCCCACGGGGAGAGAAGUGGCAAGCUGCCAGAGCCCAGCACUCUCUGGCCAGGCCUUUUCAGAUAGUCCACAUGAGGAGGGCUUAAUGUUUCAAUAUGCAUUUUACCUGCUUGAAGGUAUUUGAUGAAACAGAGGAUCUUGAUGUAGCAGAUAAACUUACUGAAAUCACCACUCAAUACUGCAAUUGCAGUACAGAUGAGUGACAGUAAAAACAUGAUUCCCAUUACUGACUUUAUACACUCAUUGUCAGGAUGUCAGGCAUCCUAAUUGCCAGGAAGGAGCAUGUUGCUUGAAGCCAGCUCAAGCCUGUUGCUUUCUUCCAAGUUAAUUUUGCAGAUUGCUUGGCUUCUGCACUCAGUGUUGGGUUGAACCACGUAGCCACUUGGCCCGUGCUGGUCUGGCUGUCCCGUAAAGACAUUCAUGCUCUUCUGGUGAACUCGAGUGAGGCUAUUC